UGUUGAUCCGUACCAAGUGGGCAUCGCCGGGAGGUGGUCCGAGCGGCCGGUGUGGGGCCGCUGCUGCGGGGCUCAGCCACCUGCGCUGCCUGCCAGGGGGCGGGUCGAAACCUGGAGGCCCGGGGGGCCCAGCUCCCGUGGGGAGCCGUGGGCGCCCGCUGCCCGGGCCGGCCGGUGAGUGACAGGAGCCGGGCCGAAAGACCGGCCUGACGCCGCGGGGCGGGCGGCGGCGGGCGCGGGGUUGGAGCUGGCGCGCGCAGGGAAGGGGUAGCGGCUGAGCAUCGCUCGAUCGUCCUGACGGGCCGCCCGUGGAGCCUCCUAGAUGCUGGUGCCGAGGUCGGAGGACGGCCUCGGGGUGGAGGUCCGAGAGUCCCGCUCCCGAGGUGUAGCGGGAAACUAGUUUCUGUGACUACAGCCCUGGGCUCCGCUGACCCGCAGCUCUGAAACGUGUCCAGUGCCAGCUUGAUGCUCUCCGGGGUCUUGUGUUGUUCCCAGGAAACUACAGCUGUUUGGUCAGGAGAUCUUUUUGGAGAAGAUGCUGAAACCAGAGGCAGCUGGUGGCCUGUUGCUGUUUCCCUUACUUGUGAGAAGAGAGAGAAGUUGACACCUUAUGGAGGCCCAUCCUCAUUCUGCAAGAGGCAGCAGAACCUGCUCAAGUGCAUGACUGAAGCCUGAGAACAGAAAGCAAUUCUGCAUCUCAGAAGGGGCUACGCGGCUCAACCCGCUUCCUGGCUAAGAUGCCACUUUUGACUCUUGGAAAACAUGUAUUGGUUCCUUGACCGGGGAUCGAACCCAUGCCCCCUGCAGUGGA
Physeter macrocephalus (sperm whale) is the source of this 811-nucleotide long non-coding RNA. RefSeq lists it as uncharacterized. NCBI's taxonomy places the organism in Eukaryota, Metazoa, Chordata, Mammalia, Artiodactyla, Physeteridae. The record is from RefSeq and is a predicted model, not a curated record. The transcript has 4 exons.